Long non-coding RNA from Syngnathus acus (greater pipefish), 4070 nucleotides. RefSeq lists it as uncharacterized. The transcript is spliced from 5 exons. The record is from RefSeq and is a predicted model, not a curated record. Lineage: Eukaryota; Metazoa; Chordata; Actinopteri; Syngnathiformes; Syngnathidae.
UGUCUCCUAAGGUCUCUCACUCCCUCCCUCUCUCUCUCUCUUUUUCUCCACCACUCACUUGCCCUCUCCCAGCCUUUAAAGUUCCGUUUGGUACACUUUCACUCUACCUUCUUGCACUCCUCCGUCUCUGUCCCUCCCUUUCUCUCAGUGGUACCCCCACCCCUCUUUUUCUUGUCUUCCUUGUUUUGCUCUCACUCUGAUAGCGUGUCCCUGCCAUGUGCUUGACUGUCCCUCUCUCUGGCCUCGGCAGUUUGCUCUCUACGCGAAGACGAGAGCUUGGCCUCGGCAUCCCCCUUCCUUUUUUCGCACGACCUCACUCGGGCUCUUUCGUUUUUAUUCUUGGAUUCUCCCAAGCUGCUCCUGCCAAGCUACGCUGAAGUUUGAGCAUGAAGGCAGAGGAAGAAAUCCACCGACUAACUGUAUCUGUGUGCGUGCGUGCGUGUGUGCGUGUGUGUGUGUGUGUGUGUGAUAUCAUCAGUCUGCAAGUGUUUAUGCGGGACUUUGCACUGCAAAUUGAAGCAACCAGGUAGAAAGUCAUCGAGAAGCGGCAGAGGCGGCACUGCGAGGGAGUUGAACGGGUUCAUCCGUGAGUGAGUGAGUGUGUGUGAGUGAGCGAGAGAGCGGGAGGAAGCUGAGCGAGGAGUGGGAGAAUCUGGCCGACUACAGCUGUCGCAGGCGCCAUCUGAAGACCAGACAACUUUCAUUUUCCUUCUUUUUUUUUUUGAAUUUGUGAUGUUGCUUUAUUUUCUAUUGUACAUGUGUGUCUUUGUGUCAGUGCGCGCGCGGCGAUGCGAUGGGGCUGCACUCGUUGCCCCCUCGUCUUCCUCCACAUGGAAGCCGCCGAGACCGACGGCUAGGACAGCGUGCCUCCCCUUUGUGGCUGCCCUUGGGCCGACUUGCUCCUAUGCUGGGUGCGGCACUGCAGCGCGCCUUCCUUCGGGGGAGCGCUGGGAGGCCCCCGGAGGGCCAAGCUGCACCGGAGAGGGGAUCCCAACUGUAAGUACAGGGGCCUCAGACCCUCCCCUUCCCUCCCUCCCCACCUCACCCCCAAAACCCCCCAGCUCACUGCCUCUAUUCAUUCACAUGUGCGCACCGAGGAAGGAAUGUUGCCCCCUCACUUUUGCCUCUUUCACGCACGCUCCCUCUCUCCACUUGUGUCUUUUUUGCUCCUUUCUUCUUCUUUUUCCUCCUCCUCCUCCUCCUUAGCACAUUGCCAGUUCCGUUCCUUUUCCAAACGAGUCUCAUGGACACGUCGGAAAGAUAAUCAGAUGUUAUCGAUAGUGUUUAUUAGUUGUCAGCUGGAUCACAGCGGCUUGUUUAGAGGCUGCACUGGGCGGGCUGGAGGGGAGCGUGAGGGGUGGGGGCGAUGGAGAGGGGCCACUGUGGGGUCUGGCUCCCCUCAGUAUUGAAGUGUACAACUGUAGCGUGCUGACUCAUGCUCCAUCUUACCAAUUGGGAGCAUGUGAGUGCGUGCGUGAGUGUGGUCACUCCCCUGUGUGUCUCACAUGCGCAAUUGCACUCUGUGCCCCGCCUGAACUCAGCACUGACUGUAGACUGGGGCGGGGGUAGCGAGCACCCCCCCCCCCACACACACACACACCCGCCCCCCUUCCACUAGUGACAAUCUAUCAAAACCUCCCUGUCUGGAACAAAAAGAGCCAGUUGCAGCUCUAGCCCAUGUCUUGUCCAUCUCUAUUUUUUUCUUCCCUUUCACUCUGUUGUUGCGAGUGAGAACAAGAUUUUUUUUUUUUUUCUGGGCUUACGUGGAAUGGGAAGAAGGAAAGACUUUAAGUGGCAUAAAGACAGAUUAAGGAGUUUCAAGAACAAUGUUCCUUUUUUCUUGUAACUCGAGCCCGACGCAGUUACAGGAGAGCGGCGAGGCAAUUUUACUCGCGCUGGGGUCAGCAGGGGCGUUCGGAGGGAGGACGGUGGGGGUUGCGACGUGUUUUAUUACCCCUGAUCUUUAUCUGUCCUGCACACGGAGCUAGAUGGCUCGCCGGCUUACGGCACAGGGGCCAACUCGUGGUCUUUCCGCGGAGGGCUGGACGGUGGCCGGGUUGCGAUGUCAUCGGAGCCGAGGAUCACCUCAUCACGGAGGCUUUCCGACUUUCAAGUUCAAGUUGCGUCUGGACUUUGCCGCUCGUCCUCGUGAGUGCGUUCGAGCUGCUGUGUUGUUCCUAGAACUGCUGGGAGUUGAUUCAUUCUUCAAAUUCAUUCUUUUCCACUUCUGUCAUUUUCCGCUGAGCCCGAGUAGUUUCACGAGCUGCCGUGACGGCGUUAUUGUUCGAGACCAUGCCGCGCGCCUCUUCUGGCGCUCGUCUCGCCGCCUUCCUAGCCCAAACGAUAAAACACGGCCCCCGUGUCGCCCCUUUUUGUCUGCCCUUAUUGUUGUGCCCGCGGGAAGGGAGCAUGAGUCAGCUAGCAGUAUUGAUGUAUCGUCGUUGCAUGUGUGCCGCCUUUUAUCUCUGGAUUGUGCAUGGAGCUACCGGUAAGUGCUUCUCCUGUAACCUUUGACCCCCCCGCACGACGACUGUAACCUUGCGCUCGGCAUUCAUCGAAAAUGUCUUUUUUUGUGUGUGUCUAUUUUUGUUUCUCGUACGUGUCGGUGAAGGGUUCUAUUUUCUUGUGUACCGCCGCCACGCUGCGCCGGAUUGAGCGCAGCAGGCGCUCGAGCCGGCACAAGCGAGAAAGGCGAGGAGGAGGAGGGAGGGAGGGGAGGAAAAAAAAAAAGCCUCAAUCGAGCGCACAGUGAAAAGCGUCUGUGCCGUUACCUCAGCUGAACCCGCCAAUGAACCCGUUGCACUGCCUUCGGUCGCAGCGCCAAGAGACGAAUCACUCGAGUAGAUUGGAAACAGAGCGGUACUGUUGGACGGGCUGACGCCUGCGCCGGGAUCCGGCUCGCCACCCGACGUUGCCGCUCGCCACUGUCACGGUAAGUGGGAUUAUUCGGCUUUUGUUCUGUCGGGGGCGUCAUCGGCGUGCGCUGGUCACUCUCCCGGCCUGUCACAUAGCUUAUCAGACUGGUGUUGGCUGUUAAGAUUACAAGGCGACAACAGUCUGUAGGCUGUCUGACAUUCCGGGCUCUUUCAUCUGACCAGCAUCCUGUUAUGUCCUCCUCCUCCUCCUCCUCCUCCUCGUCGUACUACUCCUCUCUUUGUCUCAGUUCCCAUUUCAGGGUGGGUGCGCUACCGUGAUACUUCCCUUUAUCCCAACCGUCCGUCAAGCAUGCAAAUGAUGCUUUGAUUGAUUUCCCCAACUCGAAUGCAUUCAUGUGCGCGAGCGCAGAUGAACGCAGGUCAUUUGUGGGUUUGCGAGCCGGCUGCGUGCUCUUGAAUUUCCAGAGAAUCCAGACAGCGCACACACAUGGUUGCAACACACGCUAUUGUGACAGUGUAGUACGCACGCACUCUUCCCUUUUACACUUCCCUGUCCUCAACUCUCUACUCUUGCUAAAUGUUUUUUUUAUUUUUUUUUUUAACACACUAUCGGGACAACUUUUAAGGGGGCAUUUUGGAGAAAGGCGAAAAAGUCAGUCAAUCUCUGGUGAUUUAUUUUCAAGCAGACUUUUUCUGAUCAUAAAAGCACGUUGGAUGGCUCAGACUGCUUUUCUUUUGUGAUGAGCCUCCCUCGGCCCUUAUAAAUAUGUCCACAUUUGAUCCGCUUUAUAUUCUGUAAAAGCAUGUUGUACUGUGUACUUGAAUUAUUGCUGAAGGCUGUAUUUUGUUUGUUUUUUUUUACUUCUAAUAAAGCAUACUUUAAAAAAAAAAGAAAAAAGUGUCUUUUUGAUUUUGCUUCAAGCGUUGACCACACAGAGCCAGACGGUGGGUGACCCUGAAGCCUCUCAAGAAUCUCACAUGUCAGCCAAGAGAGGACGAGGAGGAUCCAUCACCACUUAGAUAGUCACAUCUAAUGUUUCACAUUCAAGCGCUUAUCACAUUACUGAUUUGCUCUCUCUACGCUGACAUCAUCUCCAUUUUGGAUUGCAAGUAAAAUCUUGUUUAUAGCACUUAUGCUUUCUUCAAACAUGUUAGUAUCACACCACUUGACUUUGAGACACCAUAAAAAGUAGU